GAUCAUACUGGAUAUAGUGCAGGUGGCAGGAAGCAGUCAGGGUGUGGAUAUAUUCUGAAGGCAGAACCAACAACAUUUCCUAGUGGACACAGGUGUUGAGCUUGAAUAACUAGAAGGAUGGAACUGACAUCAACUGAAAUAGGAAAGACAUUGGAUAAAACCGUCUGAGGGUAGGUGUGGGGAAGUAGUCAGAACUGGAGUUUGAACACGUUAAGUGUGAGAGGUUGAUAGCUGAUGACACCCCAAAUGAAGAAUACUGAGUUGGGGGUUCAAUACAAGUCUGGAAUUUAGGAGAGAGGGUGACACCAUAGCGAGCAAUAUGGCCGUUGUCACUGAACAUCCCAGCCAUGUUGUUACAUCCGACCAUGAUGUAAUAAACAAUUGGUGUAGAUAACAGAUGAAGGCAGUCCUAGGACUGAACUGCUGGGCCCCAGACAUGAUAAGCCCGGGAUAAGAAAAAUGUAACAGAGAUUAAGGAGGAGUGGCUGGUGAAACAGGAAGAAAACCAGGAGAUGGUGGGGUCUGAGAAGCCAAGGAAAAUGAGUGCUUCAAGAAGCAGUGAACAUCUAUGUCACGGGCGAGAUCCAAUGGACAACAAAGCAAAGGUUUCCCCUACCUGCUGUUUCUUGCCCAUGGCAAGUGUUCAGCUCAGCCAGAAGCUGGUUAAAAUCAUCCUGAUGAGCAAUCCAGUUAUCCUGAAAAUACCCAAAAAAUCAAACAAAGGUCUGGGAUAGGACCAGAAAUUCUGCACUUCUAACAAGCUUCCAAGGAUGUGGGUGCCGAUGAUCCACAGACCUUCCUUUGUGCAGCAGGCCAUUAAACAACCAAAGCACCUUGGGCUUCAAAAAAUAAUGGUGCCACUCAAUGCCCUGAUUCCUUCUCUACAACAUGGAUGGACCCUGCCCAAAGAGCCUCCUGGGAACAAUCAGAUGGACACCAAUUCACUUAAAAAAUCCUUGGAGAAAUAACCCACUUAUCUGGAAAUCUCCUCACCUUUUAAGACCACACACAAAAGUAACAACAACAAAACCUACAGAAAGAAGACACAGAAGUUCUCAGGCCAACCAGAAAAGACAUCUCAAAGUGUUUAUAGGGAGGCUCCCAUUCCAUGGAAGUCUCCAAGAACUCAUACUGUACAGGUCAUGCUCAGGGUGACCUGUGGGAAACAGGCAUCAUUUUUCCUGGGGAUACCUUAUUGCAUAAAUGGUCACUAAAUUUGUAAGUGCCCUAAAACCUCCCACACUCUCUUAGCCUCUCUGGCCAUCUGCAAGAAAACAAAAAUGCCAAGACUGCCUUCAUCCCAGCUGGUCCUUGAUGGGUGCUCUGAGCUACCUGGCCUUUAUGAGCUGUUGGGAAAGGACAUGAGUGAAGCCUGGAUCUUGAAGAAGAGUGGGACCAAAUAUCCAAGCCCAUACCCCCUGCCCCCAGCUGUACCCCUACUGACCAUGAAACCCUGUGCAAUCAUGGAGGUUCUCUGAGCCUCAGUUUCCCCAUUUGUAAAAUGGGGCAGAGUUUCUUGCCUUGUGAGAUUCUUGCAAAGACUUAGUUGAGAUCACUGUAUGAAGGCAUCUGGGACAGAGCCUAUAAAUCACUGGCACUCAGUCAGUGUUAGCCGAGUCUCAGUUCUCCUGUCCCCCACAAAGGGCUCUGCUCCAUCAUGGCUGAUGUCACCUGCCACAGGCUACAUUGGACUUACUCUGACACCCCUACAUUCCUGAGACUCCAGUAAUCCUAAAUACUUUUUUCCUCUAAAGAAACUGCCCCGUUUCCCCAUGAGAGGAAACACAACAUCUCUAAAGGGACUUUUUCUUCAGAAUCAGCCAGCCUGAGAGAGCUUGGGGCUAUACCUGAUUUUUCUGGCCCUGGCAUCUGGGACUCUAUACCUGUCCCCUGCAGGGUCUCAGGUACCAAUCAAUGGCAAGAACCCAGCUAACAAAGGGUCAGCCGACAUACCACAACAGGACCCUUCCACUCUGAUGGGGAAGGUUUUCGUCAACAAAGGUUCUGUCUGUGCUGCUGCUGAAUUGUCAGGCUUCAUGAUAGACACAUUCCCUGGGUCUAGAUUUAUGGUUGCAACUCAAUAAUGCCACCUUUGCAGCUGUGGCCUCAGAGGUGGCCCACCCCUUCCCAGAAAGGCAGGUUGUCAUAACCCCAAAAUAGGUAUUGGACACUCUGCUUCGGCCCUGGUGAAGGAGCAAGGGAUCUAGAACACUUCCACCCUCUAUCCCCUCUUCAUUUUGCCCUGAGCUCUGACCCUAAUGGAAGACCUGCAGCCUCUGGGUCCCUGAAGCCAUCUCAGGGCCUGAGAACCAGUGGGCCGGCCAGAGAAGAGUGGGCUCAUGGGGCUGGACCUUGGCAACCUCUGAGAAGCCCCUACCAGCUCCCCAGCCACUUUUUGGGAAGGGCCAGGAGUUGGAAAAUCACAUGGUGUUCUGGAAGUGAUUCCCUUGAUAUUUUCUGAGCUGUAAAGACAAGCCGGCUUCUGGGAAAGACUCCUGGGUCUGUAGGCCUAAAGUUCUCCAGAAUGCUACCUUUUCAGGAGCAGAAAGAAUGAGUGAUACAUUCCUGGGAUGGAUCGUAGCAGGUAUGACCUAUGGAACAGGACAAAAGCAAAUGAACAGCACUUCAUUAAGAUCCCCUGAGUAGCUAAGAGUAUGUGUAGGGUGGGGGAGGAGUCGAGGAAUGAGGCCAACAGAGAAAAUGCAUUCGUGUCAAAGGACCGACUUCCUUUUUCAAUCCAAAGGAAUUCCAUCUAAGCUCCCACCAGCCAGAGAACUGAAGCGUGUUGUGCUGGAGCAGUUUAGGCAGUGUCGGAAUUAAUCUUUUAAAAACUGUCUCGGAUGGCUCGGCCACCUUGUGCGAGAUUCGUAAACCGUGUGCAAAACUCAGACUUGUGCAGGCAACCAGAGAAGGUAAGAACCUGUCUUCUGCACGCAGGGCUUCCCCUGCCUGAUUUGUGCUUUGUCUAACCCCAGGAUCUCUCUUCUUCCCAGUGGCUCUUUUUAAAGCCUGGUGAAGGCAGGCGAGGCCAAAUUGGCUACAGGGUAGAACCCGCUAUUCUCCCUCUUGGUGAGCUGCUGAACAUCUAUUUCAAAUACCUCUAGAGGAUGGACAGCCUGAGGGCUGAGUUCCCGAAUGCUUUUGAUGCUGGGCUCUUGAAGAUUCUCUCUAUGUCUGACUUUCAGAAUGAAAGCAGAUGCAGUAACCCCACCCAGGCACAUUGCAGUCACUGGCUGGCAAGGGAGGAGGGGUAUUAGCAAAAAGUAGUGCAAAGGUAGGGAGGUGGGAUUUGGCACUAGGUAGAGCACGUAGAGUCAGUGGGAAGGAGGCAUUGGCAUAAAGCGAAGGUAGAAAAUAUUCACCCUCUGGGGAUAGGUUACUCCGUAUAGAUGACCACAAAUAUGGAACAAAAACACCUGGGUCAAAUCCUUCCCAGAGUAUGCCAGCUCCCUGCCAGGGUCUGUAUUCAGGACCAAGGUGUAGGUGCUGAUUUAGCUGAAGGUCCCUGUCAUUCCCCCAGCCCCCAAUCCCAGAGGUCACAUGCUCAUUGUCCCACUUAAGCCAAAUUUUUUUUUCUUGCCUUAAGCCAACACAUCCCCAAAACAUAUCCUAUAAAAGUAGAUUUCAUAAAGAAGAUAAAUAUUUUGAAUCAAGAAGAGGAUGAAAACAAGUUGUAAACAUGUAACUGAAACAUAAAAAUACACAUCAGUUCACUUACAGAACCAAACAGGGUUACAUCGAAUCAUUUAAAAUGAAAGCAAAGGAAAACUCUUCUCGGGAGCUCUUAAAUUUAGGAAAAGAAUCACUGUAGCAUGCUCACCUUGAACCAGGGAUUGGAUAUUGUGGUUCUUGUACAAAGGAAAAUCUGGGAGGGAGGUGGAGGUCCGAGGUGAAGGAGGGAGGAAGAUUGCAUAGUUGUGAAACAGUGGCUUCUCAUCAAGGUGAACAAGUGCGUCCUCUGAUAAAAUAGCGUUUGAUUUUUUUUUUUCUGUUCAUUUCUGUUCACGGUAUUUUUCUCUGUCCACCAAACAUGUCAUACACUGACACAUAUAUACACUACACACACACAUGCGAGCGCUAAACACCUGAAUUACACAGCCAUACUUGAAAACGCCCCCGCCCCACUCGUUCUGCGCAAAGUUCCUAUUUGCUUUUGCUACAUCCUGACCCGUUUCUUGUCAAAACUCCUGUUUCGGAUUGUUUCUUUAGCAAAAGGGAUUGAGAGGGGGUAGGGGGGCGGCGGGGGGGGCCUUCGAGGAAAGCACCGGAAAUGGUUCUAUUCUCUCACUGAAUUUCUGUGGCAAUGCCUCGCAUUUUGGUUAGGGGCUCACUAGUUUUUAAGAGAUAGGAAACAACUGCCUCUUUUUUUUUUUUUUUUUAAGCUUUCUUGAGGUAAACAUUAUUUGCUAACACCUUAGGCAGCAGACACGUUUUAUAGUGCUGUUGAGAAACUUUGCAAAAAGGAGGAAACACCACCAAAGUGUAACAUCGAUGCUUAAGAACAUUUAGAAAGCAAGUCCCCGUUUUAACUCAUUUCCCCUUCCUCUCAUUCGGCCAACUCCUUCUAGUAACAUAUAGAGCAGAACAAAGCUGAUUAAUUGUCUAUAUCAUACUGGGCAUCCCAUAUCCCAACCCACGGUAAACCUCUCUUGCUCACAUACUAAAAAUUGUGAGUCAACUGAAAAAUUAAAAUAGAGAUGAACACACUUUACAUUUUUUCAUCCUUUCUAUCUGCCUCAAGCAUAUAUAUAUAUAUAUAUAUAUAUAUAUAUAUAUAUAUACACAUAUAUAUAUGAUAGUUUACAUUAAUAUAGGAAAUAGCAGAGGUUUUUAGUUACAUUUUAUACAGAAUCACUGCAUCUUAUCCUUAUUUUCUAUGCCCUCUCUCUUUUUGGAUAAACAAUUGGCUAUAACAAUCUAUAGUAAGGCUUCACAGAAAGAAUUCUGCAUGUUUUGUUUUUCUCUAAGAACCAAGGUUUGUAAAAUGAGGUUUGAUUCUAGCACCUUAUGCAGUAUUAGUGAUGUUGUUCCCUUGGGAGAAAUUAGCAGUACCCAACACCUCAGGUGAAUCUCUAUCGGUUACGCAGUUCUCAAAGGCAUUGCCAAAGGGAGGACGCUCGACACGGCAGAGAUGCAGGGGCAAGUAGGGACAAAACAAAACCCCAGGAUUAAAGUCUUAGCAUCGUACAAAUAAAAUCUUAAAACCGUGUCAAGUUGCUGUCUCCAAAUUAAUAAUGACUUAGUGUUUCAGGGCCACCAAUGAAUCCCUUUAGGUUAUCCUUCCCCAUGAGGUAAGGAAAUAUACUAUGAUGUCCAUUUUAAAUGGAGACUGAGUCUGGGAGACCGUACACAGGUCACAGAGGAAACUGGGUAAGAAACAGGGUGGGGGGAUGCCCAGCCUCUCGCCUCUUACUACCAGACUGUUCCUUGUCACCUCUAACUGGUGACUUGAGAUUUUGGAAAAGCAGCUUAUUGGCCACUGAUGAGGAAGCAAAACAAACAAACAGUUUUUGUUUUUGUUUUUUUUUAAAUAUCAGCACCAAAGGAAGUUCAAAAGAAGCUGCUCUUUGCUCCCUUAUCAAACAUCCCAUAUUACGGAGACAGCAACUUUCACAAGAAGGGAAAAGAAAAUUAGUCACAGGAGUAACCCAUCUCUUUUGUGGGUGCCCUUCCCCAAAGUCAAACGCUCCACAGCGCUGUUAGUUUCAGUUGAGUAGCAUCGAUUUUUGCAGAGGAAUGAUCAACUCCCACCAAAGCUGCAUCAGAACCUCAAUUAUAUAAUUAUAUAACUAUAGUGAUAUCUCUAUCUCUAUAUCUAUUUAUAUAUGUAUACAUUAAAGUCUUUUACUGCACUGGCACGUGAUACCAAGGUAA
Leopardus geoffroyi (Geoffroy's cat) is the source of this 5874-nucleotide long non-coding RNA. RefSeq lists it as uncharacterized. The record is from RefSeq and is a predicted model, not a curated record. NCBI's taxonomy places the organism in Eukaryota, Metazoa, Chordata, Mammalia, Carnivora, Felidae. The transcript is spliced from 5 exons.